Molecule: non-coding RNA, 1564 nt
Organism: Cicer arietinum (chickpea)
Lineage: Eukaryota; Viridiplantae; Streptophyta; Magnoliopsida; Fabales; Fabaceae
Source: RefSeq, a predicted model, not a curated record
AUCAAUUCUAUAAGAUCAAAACUUAGGUUCAAAACAAUACAAUGGAAAAUUACAAAGGCAUUAGAAUACAUUCACCCUAAUAAACAGAUAAACAGUAUCGAUGCUUCCUCAUCUUUUUCUUAAGACUAAAGCUUAUCAACACUAUGAUAAUGGUAGGACCGUCCAAUGGUGGAGUCAUAUGAAAUGACUUUCUUGAAUCCAAGGCCCGCUCAUCAUCUUUAUAUCUUGUAGUUUUCAUUAACACAUCAACAUUGAGGUAACCUUCUAAAUAAAUUAAUACUUUCCAGCAUCCUCUCAACCAUCAUUUUCUUGAAUUUCCUCUCAGGACAAUUUUUCUUUUUAAAAUGCCUCUUGUUACAUUGGAAACAUCUUUGGUUUGUUUUGUGAGGGUCCUUCUUCUCAGUUUUAAAUUAUGUUUGGAUAUUUUCUUCUUGUACUUGAUUUUUCCAACAAACUUCACUGUUUCCUUCAUCUCUUUCUUAUGGGGUUUUUCAACUCAAAAAUAGGUUCUUAUUGAACCUCCUAAAGGGACAAGGUAUCCUUUCCAUAGACUAGUGUAUCACAUAAGUGCUUACAUGAAUUUGGCAAGGAACUUACCAAAAGUAAAGCUUGGUCUUCAUCUUUAAUACUCACAUCCAUAUUUUCAAGAUUGAUAAUGACCUUGAUAGAUCCAACUAUGUGCUCUUGGAAUGAUUCAUACUUCUUUCAAUGGGUAAACUCAUAAAUUUUGAGGACAAAAUUUUCUGGGGCGGGGGAGAAUGUAAUGGCCAUCUCACUACCUUAAAAAUUAUUAAUUUAGGAUCAAUUGUAGAAUGAUAAAGUGAUAGUGUUAACAAGUCCAAGUGGCAAAGAUAGACAAUGCCACCUUUAUUUCUCUCUCUCUUUCUCCUUCAAUCACGGGUACUAACCAAUCUUCUUCAUUCAUUUAUUUCAUUUUAAAUACACAUUUCCAUAAAACAACUCUGAAAAACCCCAACACUAGUAUUGUUCCUUGUCUCCCUCAUCCAUCAAUUUUCUUUUUCUUUCCAAAAUCCUUCAAACACAAAAGUUCUUUGAAGUCUUCUACAAUCUUCUACCUUCACUCCAACCCCUUGCAUCUAUAUUUCCUUCUCUUAAUCUCCAGAAAUCAACCAAAAAUAGUAUUAUAUGGAGAUAAAGAGAAAACAUGGAAAACCCCAAAUCUGACACAAAAUACCGGAGAAAUUGAGAGUUGGUAGAGUAGGCAUCUUCCAUAAAUCAACUCGAGUUAAAGGGGAUUUUCCUUUAGAAAAAUUGCCAUAAUUUGAGCUCUGGAUAUCGAAUUGGCGCAUACGAGCAGGCGUUGGAAAGUUAAAAAUCAGAGCUACAACUUUUAUGUUGGAAUAAAAGCCCAAUGUUGAACUUUAUUGGACCUAAAUUGCAGAUUUCGUAAUCUAGACUUUUGUAAUAAUUUUAAAUUACAGGUCACUAUUUUUAAAACCCUAAAGCCUAAUAUCGAGUACUAUAUAUUGGGAGUUUAGUUUCUUUUCUAUGACAUGAAAUUUUAGGAUUCAUAUUGAUACAAUGAAUAAACACUUUUUAUUUU